This 397-nucleotide ribosomal RNA is filed under the name uncultured bacterium. Its description in RNAcentral is "partial 16S ribosomal RNA". It matches the Rfam family "Bacterial small subunit ribosomal RNA", at positions 523 to 918 of the family's 1533-position model. The record is from RNAcentral.
AUACGUAGGUGACAAGCGUUAUCCGGAUUUACUGGGUGUAAAGGGCGUGUAGGCGGUUUAGCAAGUCAGAAGUGAAAUUCCCGGGCUUAACUUGGGCGCUGCUUCUGAAACUGCUUUACUUGAGUGCUGGAGAGGAUAGUGGAAUUCCUAGUGUAGCGGUAAAAUGCGCAGAUAUUAGGAGGAACACCGGUGGCGAAGGCGGCUAUCUGGACAGUAACUGACGCUGAGGCGCGAAAGCACGGGGAGCAAACAGGAUUAGAUACCCUGGUAGUCCGUGCCGUAAACGAUGAAUACUAGGUGUAGGGGGUACCGACUCCCUCUGUGCCGCAGUUAACACAUUAAGUAUUCCACCUGGGGAGUACGGCCGCAAGGUUGAAACUCAAAUGAAUUGACGGGG